This 333-nucleotide ribosomal RNA is filed under the name uncultured eukaryote. Its description in RNAcentral is "partial 18S ribosomal RNA". It matches the Rfam family "Eukaryotic small subunit ribosomal RNA", at positions 1470 to 1796 of the family's 1831-position model. The record is from RNAcentral.
CCCUUAGAUGUCCUGGGCUGCACGCGCGCUACACUGAUGUGUCCAGUAAGCACCUAACCUCUUCCGAAAGGAACGGGUAACCUUUGCAAAGCACAUCGUGAUGGGGAUAGAUUAUUGCAAUUAUUAGUCUUGAACGAGGAAUUCCUAGUAAGCGCAAGUCAGCAGCUUGCGUUGAUUACGUCCCUGCCCUUUGUACACACCGCCCGUCGCUACUACCGAUUGAAUGGUUUAGUGAGAUCUUCGGAUUGGCGCCACUGCGGCUCAGCAAUGGGCUCGGUGGAUGCCGAAAAGUUGAUCAAACUUGAUCAUUUAGAGGAAGUAAAAGUCGUAACA